This 160-nucleotide unclassified non-coding RNA is filed under the name uncultured Leohumicola. RNAcentral describes it as "sequence contains ITS1". Lineage: Eukaryota; Fungi; Ascomycota; Leotiomycetes. The record is from RNAcentral.
CAGAGUUCAUGCCCUCACGGGUAGACCUCCCACCCUUGAGUACUAUACCUUUGUUGCUUUGGCGGGCCGCCUCGGCUACCGGCCCCUGCUGGUAAGUGCCCGCCAAAGGACCCCAAAACUCACGUAUUAGUGUUGUCUGAGUACGAGAUAAAUAUAGUUA